Molecule: ribosomal RNA, 477 nt
Filed under: uncultured bacterium
Lineage: Bacteria
Description: bacterial SSU rRNA
Rfam family: Bacterial small subunit ribosomal RNA
Source: RNAcentral
GAUGAACGCUAGCUACAGGCUUAACACAUGCAAGUCGAGGGGCAGCAUUUUAGUUUGCUUGCAAACUAAAGAUGGCGACCGGCGCACGGGUGAGUAACACGUAUCCAACCUGCCGAUAACUCGGGGAUAGCCUUUCGAAAGAAAGAUUAAUAUCCGAUAGUAUAUUAAAACCGCAUGGUUUUACUAUUAAAGAAUUUCGGUUAUCGAUGGGGAUGCGUUCCAUUAGUUUGUUGGCGGGGUAAACGGCCCACCAAGACUACGAUGGAUAGGGGUUCUGAGAGGAAGGUCCCCCACAUUGGAACUGAGACACGGGUCCAAAACUCCUACGGGAGGCAGCAGUGAGGAAUAUUGGUCAAAUGGGCGAGAGCCUGAACCAGCCAAGUAGCGUGAAGGAUGAAGGUCCUACGGAUUGUAAAACUUCUUUUAUACGGGAAUAAAAGUUUCCUACGUGUAGGAUUUUGUAUGUACCCGUAUGAA